This 253-nucleotide ribosomal RNA is filed under the name uncultured bacterium. RNAcentral describes it as "partial 16S ribosomal RNA". It matches the Rfam family "Bacterial small subunit ribosomal RNA", at positions 524 to 776 of the family's 1533-position model. The record is from RNAcentral.
UACGAAGGGGGCUAGCGUUGUUCGGAUUUACUGGGCGUAAAGCGCACGUAGGCGGACUAUUAAGUCAGGGGUGAAAUCCCGGGGCUCAACCCCGGAACUGCCUUUGAUACUGGUAGUCUUGAGUUCGAGAGAGGUGAGUGGAAUUCCGAGUGUAGAGGUGAAAUUCGUAGAUAUUCGGAGGAACACCAGUGGCGAAGGCGGCUCACUGGCUCGAUACUGACGCUGAGGUGCGAAAGCGUGGGUAGCAAACAGG